GGGGGUGACUGGCUUCGACAAGGAAAUCGACAUAUGUGUGCGCGGGCAACGCUGUAGCUGCGUUUCAAACCGCUACACAAAUUCAAGUGCGAACAAAGUAGCACGUGCAGUUUUGUCGCCCAUUCAGUUGGGUGACCUGCAGUUCGCUUACGCGAAAGCCUAAGCGACCGUCCACUAGGCUGAUACUUGAUUAAGCCUUCUUGGGCGUCACUUCAUUCAAGCACUGAGUGUCGAAUAGUCCGAUCGACCUCUAAGACUAGGACUCGGCUUUGCGCGAUUCUGUUCGUCCCUUACGCGCAUCGCUUAAAUCUUGAGACGAUCUACGCCUCGUAGAUACAUACAUACUGUUUUUCCUUGGACUCGGGUCCGAUACCCGACACCUCCACCA
This 388-nucleotide transfer-messenger RNA is filed under the name Minisyncoccia. RNAcentral's name for it is "UBA10103 sp003599295 Standard tmRNA". It matches the Rfam family "transfer-messenger RNA". Rfam says of the family: Bacterial tmRNA, also known as 10Sa RNA or SsrA, is named for its dual tRNA and mRNA-like properties. The record is from RNAcentral. Lineage: Bacteria; Bacillati; Minisyncoccota.